CCGCUAUUGAAGCAUCCUGGUCUUCCACAACACCUCAGCAGUGCCACAGCCUGAUAGCUUCCAUGCCACACCGCAUUGAGGCAGUAAUUGCUGCAAAAGGGGCCCAAACAAAGUACUGAGUCCAUAUGCAUGCUUAUACUUUUCAGAGGUCCGAUAUUGUUCUAUGUACACUCCUUGUUUUAUUGAUUGCAUGUAAUAUUCUAAUUUACUGGGAUUGUGGAUUUGGGGUUUUCAUGCGCUGUAAGCCAUAAUCAUCGCAC
Molecule: long non-coding RNA, 260 nt
Filed under: Pelobates cultripes (western spadefoot toad)
Lineage: Eukaryota; Metazoa; Chordata; Amphibia; Anura; Pelobatidae
Source: RNAcentral